RNAcentral lists this ribosomal RNA (829 nucleotides) under uncultured bacterium. RNAcentral describes it as "bacterial SSU rRNA". It matches the Rfam family "Bacterial small subunit ribosomal RNA", at positions 62 to 866 of the family's 1533-position model. The record is from RNAcentral.
UCGAGCGAGAAAGCUCCUUCGGGAGUGAGUAAAGCGGCGCACGGGUGAGUAACACGUAGGUAACCUACCCUCGAGCCCCGAAUAACCUACCGAAAGGUGGGCUAAUACCGGAUAUGACCACGGGAGCCACGGCUCCUGCGGUGAAAGAUGGCCUAAGCUUGCAAGCUAUUACUAGGGGAUGGGCCUGCGUACCAUUAGCUAGUUGGCGGGGUAAUGGCCCACCAAGGCUAUGAUGGUUAGCUGGUCUGAGAGGAUGGCCAGCCACACUGGAACUGAAACACGGUCCAGACUCCUACGGGAGGCAGCAGUGGGGGAUAUUGCGCAAUGGGCGAAAGCCUGACGCAGCGACGCCGCGUGGGUGAUGAAGGCCUUCGGGUCGUAAAGCCCUGUCGAGGGGGACGAAACGGCUCCGACCUAAUACGUCGGGGUUCUGACGGUACCCCUAAAGGAAGCACCGGCUAACUCCGUGCCAGCAGCCGCGGUAAUACGGAGGGUGCGAGCGUUGUUCGGAAUCACUGGGCGUAAAGCGCGCGUAGGCGGUCUGCUAAGUCUGAUGUGAAAGCCCGGGGCUCACCCCCGGAAGUGCAUUGGAAACUGACAGACUGGAGUCCCGGAGAGGAAGGUGGAAUUCCUGGUGUAGCGGUGAAAUGCGUAGAUAUCAGGAGGAACACCGGUGGCGAAGGCGGCCUUCUGGACGGUGACUGACGCUGAGGCGCGAAAGCGUGGGGAGCAAACAGGAUUAGAUACCCUGGUAGUCCACGCUGUAAACGAUGAGCACUAGGUGUCGCGGGUAUUGACCCCUGCGGUGCCGUAGCUAACGCAUUAAGUG